CCCUUAGAUGUCCUGGGCCGCACGCGCGUUACACUGAUGCAUUCAACGAGCUUAUAACCUUGGCCGAGAGGCCCGGGCAAUCUUGUUAACGUGCAUCGUGAUAGGGAUAGAUUAUUGAAAUUAUUAAUCUUGAACGAGGAAUCCCUAGUAAACGCAGAUCAUCAAUCUGCAUUGAUUACGUCCCUGCCCUUUGUACACACCGCCCGUCGCACCUACCGAUUGGAUGGUCCGGUGAAGCCUCGGGAUUGUGGUUCUUGCCGCUUUAUUGUGGCGUGACCGCGAGAACUUGUCUAAACCUUAUCAUCUAGAGGAAGGUGAAGUCGUAACA
This 328-nucleotide ribosomal RNA is filed under the name uncultured eukaryote. RNAcentral's name for it is "partial 18S ribosomal RNA". It matches the Rfam family "Eukaryotic small subunit ribosomal RNA", at positions 1470 to 1796 of the family's 1831-position model. The record is from RNAcentral.